This 863-nucleotide long non-coding RNA is filed under the name Sorghum bicolor (sorghum). RNAcentral describes it as "long non-coding RNA (SBIC_LNC010051)". The record is from RNAcentral. Lineage: Eukaryota; Viridiplantae; Streptophyta; Magnoliopsida; Poales; Poaceae.
ACUCAAAAAUACCAUCAGCAUCUGAUUUUUCCUCCCUUAAUUUCCAUGGUCACACAUCCCUCUUUAUUCCUCUAUUGGCAGCACUACUUUACUCCAUUGCUUUCAAUUGCAUACAUGCACAUAAACAACCAGCCAUACCCCCUCCUCUUUUUCUCACGCAGAAACCAGCAGCACCUCUUCAACUCCUUUUUGAUGGCACCAAUUUUUACUCCACAUUAUCUCUCUUUCAAUUGCAUGGAUCCAUGCACCAAUUAUCAGCCAUAUCUCCUCCUCUUAUAUUUCUCACGCAGCAGCCAUCCUCUCAUCCCCUCCUCAUUCUCUCACGCAGGCACCACAUGAGCAGCUCUUCAUCAUCUCUCCUUCCUCCCCAUGGCAGCCCUCUCCUCUCCUAUAUUUUCCUCUCCUUCCUCCACAACACAGCAGCCAUAUCCCCUCCACUUCUGCUCUCUUCCUCACACAAACACUAGAGAAGGAGAACCUACAUCUCCUCCCCAUCCUCCACCAUGGACGCCCCUUUUUCUCCUCUCCAAAUUCCUCUCCAUCGAAAUAUAGUGUCCCCUCUGAGAUGAAAUCGUUUUGUUGCUGCACCUCUUCUUCCCGUCGUCGGAAUCCUUGAAUUCUUCGCUUUGUGUUGCGGUAAGGGUCAUGGCCUUCUCUAUUCUUCACUGAGAAACCCAUGUUCAUCAUGUCUCCUCUCUUUUGUGACCUCUUAAGGCAACACCAUGGUGCUGCAGCGCUACAUGGAAGCCAUCCCGGUGUGCCUUGCCGUCUCCCUGAGCCCGCAGCAGUAGCAACACCUCCUUCAUCAUCAUGGUGAGGUUGUCCCUUCCCUUUCCCUCUCUGAUCUUCUUGAUCGUGCCCCU